GCGUUUGAAAUCUCCUGAUGGAAAAUGAAUAUACAAAUUAGCAUUAAAUGGCAAAACUAUUUUUCGAAUUACAGAUAAAAACUUUAAGACAAAGAUUUAGAAAGGGGCAAAAUAAGAAAAAUAGAUGUGACACAUCGAUAUUGUAGCUGCAAUUUUAUCCUUCAUAAAAUAUGUAAAUGACUGGCACAGAAGAAAAUGAUAGGUUCUCACAAUGUCAUAUCGCAGGUUGAACUUGGAAGUGAUGGUGUUAAAAGCAUUUCAAUCAUCGUUUUACUCUUAUGAAGAAAUAUAAGAGCUAACUAAGAAAAUCACAGUUAUUGAAAACUGAAAACCACUAAUUUUUUAUGGUAAUACAAGCAUUUAAAGUGAGAAGAAAGAAAAAAACACGGAGUAUCUCAAGUUUCAUUUGGUACUAUAAUAAUUAGUAAACAAUAUUCUAGAGAAGCUGCAGGCUCCAUAAGGUACAAUCAGGGUUCUUUGAAGCAACCAUUCACGAUGCAUCUAGAACAUAAUUCAGCAUCUCUUCAAUUAUUUGAUCUUCAACUGUGUACACAUUUCUAAUAUCAAAAAGAUGAUUAUACACUCAUUGGCAUAGGUUCUCCAUCAAAAACAUCCACAUUUGAUGUAAGAGUUAUGAGAACUACACGGAAAAAAAAUGUUCAGCUGAAGCAACGAUAUAUAUUUCAUCUGCAUACAAAUUUUCUUUAUCAUCUCAACUCUACAUAUGAAGGAAUAAGUUCGAAUAGAAUAGGAUCGGAUGGGGUAGGAUCGGAUUAAUAAUUUAUCAAAUAAUUUAGUCCUUUAAAAUUGUAUAACUUUAAUUUGCACAAGUGUGAAGUCACAUGUUGCCCAGCAUUCGCUUUUUUUUCCGGAUCAACAAAUGCGCAAACAACUUGUUUGCCUUGGCUCAGAGUUUUCUCUGCAAUCUUUCCUAAGCUGAAUAUCUGAUCCGCUCAUG
This is a long non-coding RNA of Belonocnema kinseyi, 958 nucleotides long. RefSeq lists it as uncharacterized. The transcript has 5 exons. Lineage: Eukaryota; Metazoa; Arthropoda; Insecta; Hymenoptera; Cynipidae. The record is from RefSeq and is a predicted model, not a curated record.